Molecule: ribosomal RNA, 253 nt
Filed under: uncultured bacterium
Lineage: Bacteria
Description: partial 16S ribosomal RNA
Rfam family: Bacterial small subunit ribosomal RNA
Source: RNAcentral
UACGUAGGGUGCGAGCGUUAAUCGGAAUUACUGGGCGUAAAGGGCGCGUAGGCGGCCUGUUAAGUCGAACGUGAAAUCCCUGGGCUCAACCCAGGAACUGCGUCCGAUACUGGCAGGCUUGAAUCCGGGAGAGGGAUGUGGAAUUCCAGGUGUAGCGGUGAAAUGCGUAGAUAUCUGGAGGAACACCGGUGGCGAAGGCGGCAUCCUGGACCGGUAUUGACGCUGAGGCGCGAAAGCCAGGGGAGCAAACGGG